GGGGCUGUAGCUCAGUUGGGAGAGCACCUGCUUUGCAAGCAGGGGGUCAGGAGUUCGAUCCUCCUCAGCUCCACCA
RNAcentral lists this transfer RNA (76 nucleotides) under Candidatus Omnitrophota bacterium. RNAcentral's name for it is "Candidatus Omnitrophica bacterium tRNA-Ala". It matches the Rfam family "tRNA". Rfam says of the family: Transfer RNA (tRNA) molecules are approximately 80 nucleotides in length. Their secondary structure includes four short double-helical elements and three loops (D, anti-codon, and T loops). Further hydrogen bonds mediate the characteristic L-shaped molecular structure. tRNAs have two regions of fundamental functional importance: the anti-codon, which is responsible for specific mRNA codon recognition, and the 3' end, to which the tRNAs corresponding amino acid is attached (by aminoacyl-tRNA synthetases). tRNAs cope with the degeneracy of the genetic code in two manners: having more than one tRNA (with a specific anti-codon) for a particular amino acid; and 'wobble' base-pairing, i.e. permitting non-standard base-pairing at the 3rd anti-codon position. RNAcentral also lists the same sequence under 1 other name. Lineage: Bacteria; Pseudomonadati; Candidatus Omnitrophota. The record is from RNAcentral.